UCCCUGGUGGUCCAGUGGCCAAGACUCUGCACUCCCAAUGCAGGAGGCCCGGGUUUGAUCCCUGGUCAGGGAA
Ovis aries (sheep) is the source of this 73-nucleotide transfer RNA. It matches the Rfam family "tRNA". From Rfam's summary of the family: Transfer RNA (tRNA) molecules are approximately 80 nucleotides in length. Their secondary structure includes four short double-helical elements and three loops (D, anti-codon, and T loops). NCBI's taxonomy places the organism in Eukaryota, Metazoa, Chordata, Mammalia, Artiodactyla, Bovidae. The record is from Rfam.